RNA transcript from Capsicum annuum, 888 nucleotides. It is a transcript of the gene named pre-mRNA-processing protein 40A-like, with no coding region annotated. NCBI's taxonomy places the organism in Eukaryota, Viridiplantae, Streptophyta, Magnoliopsida, Solanales, Solanaceae. The record is from RefSeq and is a predicted model, not a curated record. The transcript has 7 exons.
AUCUAGUUUCAGAACAAUUCCGAACUUUUGCUUCGUUGCGAAAUUAUCUGGCUCCGCCUCUCGCUGCGGCAUUGCCGCCGAGGUUGUUUUCCGUCGGCGCUCUUCGCUUAAUCUUUCAUGUGGAUAUUAGCUACACUUUUCCUAUAAAGUUUGACAGAAAUUUUGCAUUAACAGACGUGCUUCUUUACACUCGAAGAAAAGAUACUUAGGCCAUCAGUAGCUGUUGAACCCAAGCCAUAAGUCUCCUAUACCUCCUCUGGCUGGUCCUGCUCCUGGUGCUAUUCCAUCCAUGUCACUGCAGCAGUUCCAGCCUAUGCUUCCAGCCCAGCAGGCACAACCUUAUGGUUCCGGGUCAUCUCAACAAUUUCUGCCACUUGGACAUGCAAAUGUUGCGAUGUCUCAACCUUCUCAAAUCCAAUUUCCUCAUCCUAUGCAACAGGUUACUGGUAGACCUGUAGUAGGAAUGCAUAGUAUGCCUCAGGGACCACCUAUUCCCCAUGAUUUUCAGCGAAAUCUUCCGAUGUCAAAUAACCACAUGCCUGGUUCUGGUGGCCCAAAUUUACCUCUUUCUUCUUCAUAUAAUCAGGUAAAUGCAGAUUCUUCUGGCUCCAGUAUCAAACACAGAUAAAUGAUCAUAGGUUUCCAUCAGGGUUGUAACCCUGGAUGCCAAUAAGUAAUCAUAAUGUGAAUUCUGCAACAACUAUGUAGAAUUAACAGCUCCCUUGGUUGUUCCGGAAGCAAAUUACGUAGUUGAGACUGUUCAGUCAGAUUGGAUUGAGCAUACUACUCGAAAGGGGAAAAAAUACUAUUAUAAUAGAAGGACAAGAAUCUACUUGGGAGAAACCUCAAGAGCUGAUGACAGAAAUGGAGGUGAGGUCUCUUGUCAUC